Molecule: long non-coding RNA, 799 nt
Organism: Apis mellifera (honey bee)
Lineage: Eukaryota; Metazoa; Arthropoda; Insecta; Hymenoptera; Apidae
Exons: 4
Source: RefSeq, a predicted model, not a curated record
CCACUUGAGAGGUAUAGUAUGUCAAACUAUUUAUGUUUAUUCGAAAAGUUAGAAAGUUUUUCAUAUAGUUUCUCAAUAUCAAAACUAAAAAUUUAGAUGUUUAUUUUUAAUAAAAGAAAAAUAUUAAUAUUAUUUGCUUGGAAUGUCAGAAAAAUAUAUUGCAAUAUUUCGUUACUUUUCAAAAUAAACAUGAUUUGCACGAACAAGUCUCAUUCGCGAAGGUUAUUCGAUCUUAAAACAUCGAUAAACGAAGGCGUGGCUCGAUUGUUUGAAGUAGACAAAGUAAAGUAACACGAAUCGAAGUGAAUGGGAUGUUGGAUGUUGUAAUUUAAAACAAAAAAAUGUUUGCAAUUCGAGCAAAUCAAUCUGAUUUUCAUCGAGAAAAUGUAAAAGGACGAAAGAAAAACUAAUCGAAGAUUGGAAAAGAGAUUGGAUAUAACAGAAUGGUCAAACAAGUUUCCAGUUUUAAUCGGUUGAGUGUAUACCGUUCUAAACAAAAUUGACAGCUGUUCCAUUAAAUCAUGAUUGAAUUUCCAGAUUCACAUAUUAAUUAUUAUUCCGUAAUAUUGCACUGGGUCGAGGUCGGUUCUUUGAAAAUAUUUUCUCUUCUGUGAACAAGUUAACAGUUCGAUUAAAUUUCGUCCCGAUGAUUCAAAAAUCACUUUUACGAAAUAAUUAUUUUGAAAUUACCUUGUCACAGAUAUUUCACUUUUGUAACAAUUUUUUUUUUUCGAGGUAAAAUGUAAAAAGGGAAAAAGAAAAGAAUAAAGAAUUGAAGAAAUUUUAUCCACAUUUCGAU